RNAcentral lists this ribosomal RNA (666 nucleotides) under Rahnella sp. Its description in RNAcentral is "bacterial SSU rRNA". It matches the Rfam family "Bacterial small subunit ribosomal RNA", at positions 65 to 720 of the family's 1533-position model. The record is from RNAcentral. Lineage: Bacteria; Pseudomonadati; Pseudomonadota; Gammaproteobacteria; Enterobacterales; Yersiniaceae.
AGCGGCAGCGGGAAGUAGCUUGCUACUUUGCCGGCGAGCGGCGGACGGGUGAGUAAUGUCUGGGAAACUGCCUGAUGGAGGGGGAUAACUACUGGAAACGGUAGCUAAUACCGCAUGACCUCGCAAGAGCAAAGUGGGGGACCUUCGGGCCUCACGCCAUCGGAUGUGCCCAGAUGGGAUUAGCUAGUAGGUGAGGUAAUGGCUCACCUAGGCGACGAUCCCUAGCUGGUCUGAGAGGAUGACCAGCCACACUGGAACUGAGACACGGUCCAGACUCCUACGGGAGGCAGCAGUGGGGAAUAUUGCACAAUGGGCGCAAGCCUGAUGCAGCCAUGCCGCGUGUGUGAAGAAGGCCUUAGGGUUGUAAAGCACUUUCAGCGAGGAGGAAGGGUUCAGUGUUAAUAGCACUGUUCAUUGACGUUACUCGCAGAAGAAGCACCGGCUAACUCCGUGCCAGCAGCCGCGGUAAUACGGAGGGUGCAAGCGUUAAUCGGAAUUACUGGGCGUAAAGCGCACGCAGGCGGUUUGUUAAGUCAGAUGUGAAAUCCCCGAGCUUAACUUGGGAACUGCAUUUGAAACUGGCAAGCUAGAGUCUUGUAGAGGGGGGUAGAAUUCCAGGUGUAGCGGUGAAAUGCGUAGAGAUCUGGAGGAAUACCGGUGGCGAAG